AGGGGUUUUUUUAGAGCCUCUUCAGGCUCUCUCUGCAGUCAUCCAUCAACCACAGCUCCACAAAGGCUGCUUCCCAGGCAGGUGGGCCUCUCGUAGGUGAGAGCGAAGGAAGUGGAUGACUCGGCUCUGCUCCGCGACUCGGGGGCUACUCCCACCCAGCUUCCGAAUGUCAUACACCACUUAGAAGAUUUUAGUCACCUGUACGAGCUUGCAAGGCUGCCAUAACAAAGUACCAUGGACAAGGUGGCUUAAAAAACAGAAAUUUAUCUCCUCGCAGUUGUGGAGGCUGGAGGUCCAAGAACAAGAACUUUAUCACAAUUUUUGCACCUUUACCCUUCAACAUUUACUUUGGCAUCACCUUGUCUAGCUGUAAAAAUGUUCUGAAGGCAUUUUCAUUGGAAUAGCGUUCAGUGGCUCAGCAGUAAAGAAUCCACCUACAACACAGGAGACAUGGGUUUGAUCCCUGAGUCGGGAAGAUCCCCAGGAGAAGCAAAUGGCAACCCACUCCAGUAUUCUUGCCUGGGAAAUCCCAUGGACAGAGGAGCCUGGUGGGCUAUUAAACUAAAUAGCCAGACAUGACUUAGCUAUUAAACUAAACACCAAAUAUAUAGAUGAAUGAGCAAGACUGUACAUGUUUGUAUAAUGGAUACUCUCUGCAUCCAUAUCAUUGCUUAGCAUUGCUUACCCUUCUGUACUGCUUGAAUUUUAAACCUUAUACGUCUUAUUUUUUUAAUG
This is a long non-coding RNA of Dama dama (fallow deer), 735 nucleotides long. RefSeq lists it as uncharacterized. The transcript is spliced from 3 exons. Lineage: Eukaryota; Metazoa; Chordata; Mammalia; Artiodactyla; Cervidae. The record is from RefSeq and is a predicted model, not a curated record.